RNAcentral lists this long non-coding RNA (301 nucleotides) under Mytilus galloprovincialis (Mediterranean mussel). The record is from RNAcentral. Lineage: Eukaryota; Metazoa; Mollusca; Bivalvia; Mytilida; Mytilidae.
CACUAAGAGGGUAAAAAGAUUGUUUUUAGGUUCGCCGACUGAUUUUUCUUAGUGAUGCACUUGAAAAUCUCUUGAUUAAGGCAAAGACACGAAUAUUGAAUGUGCGGAAUUUAAUUCUAAACCAUUUGAGAAUAUCGAUGUCGGCUGAAUUAAUCAUUAAGCAAUGUACAGAUGAUCAACUUACCGUUUAAUUCAGUAUACCCAUCAAGUUUAAAAUGUGAUCCAAAAAGUUCUCGCUUCGAAAAUCGCGACUUCCGGAUAGCGUACAGAAUAGUAUCUACACUGUGAAUAAAAUACAUAC